RNAcentral lists this ribosomal RNA (433 nucleotides) under uncultured bacterium. Its description in RNAcentral is "partial 16S ribosomal RNA". It matches the Rfam family "Bacterial small subunit ribosomal RNA", at positions 29 to 507 of the family's 1533-position model. The record is from RNAcentral.
AACGAACGCUGGCGGCAUGCCUAACACAUGCCAGUCGAACGAGACCUUCGGGUCUAGUUGCGCACGGGUGCGUAACGCGUGGGAAUCUGCCCUUGGGUUCGGAAUAACAGUUGGAAACGACUGCUAAUACCGGAUGAUGACGUAAGUCCAAAGAUUUAUCGCCCAAGGAUGAGCCCGCGUAGGAUUAGCUAGUUGGUGAGGUAAAGGCUCGCCAAGGCGACGAUCCUUAGCUGGUCUGAGAGGAUGAUCAGCUACACUGGGACUGAGACACGGCCCACACUGCUAGGGGGGAGAGCAGUGGGGAAUAUUAGACGAGGGACGAAAGCGUGAUCCAGCCAUGCCGAGGGUGUGGUGAAGGCCUUAGGGUUGUACAUCUCGUUUACCCGGGAUGUUAAUGACAGUACCGGGAGAAUAAGCUCCGGCUAACUCCGUG